CAGGCUGGGAGUGGACACCUGCGCUCACAGACUCAGCCCCUUUGCUGUGACAUCCCCCACGUGCUCUUAGUUAACCCCCUCCAGCAGCAGGCUGGGAAGGAGGAUGUGCUGGGAGGGAUCCUCCCUGGGUUUCCCCCUGGGAGCUGAUAGUUCCUUCCCCGGGGGCUCAAGCCUGGGGUCCUCCCUGCACGGCCCCUCCCCCAUCCUCCACUAUCCCCAUUGUCUACACAGCGGCUGGCGGCUGGGGGGAGGGCACUUUAAAAAAAGGACAUGCGAGUUCCCACAGUGGUGCAGCGGAAAGGAGUCCAAAUGGUAUCCGGGGUCGAUCCCUGGCCUCGCUCAGUUCCAUCCCUGGCCUCGCGUUGCCUGAGCUGUGAUGUAGGUUACAGACACAGCUCAGAUCCCGCAUUGCUGUGGCUGUGGUGUAGCUCUGAUGUGACUCCUAGCCGGGAGACUUCCAUAUGCUGCAGGUGCAGCCCUAAAAAGUAAAAAAAAAAAAAAAAAAAAAAGAAAAAGGAAAUGAUACCAUACCCUGCACUUGCUUCCAGCACUCCCGCAGUUUCCCUGUACAGUUGGACAAGAUGCUCACUCACCCUCCACCCUGGCUCGGACCCUGCCCACCUCCCUGCUCCUCGGGCCCCCAGAACGCUGCCUUCUCAGGUCCUGUCCCAGCUGCUCCCUGUGUGCUCGCAGGUGACAGGCCCAGAGAGCGCUAGUCUCACACCCAAUCCAGACCACCCCGCUCUUCUCCCCUCUGUUGCUCUCUGCGAAAUACCUGCCGCCGACCCUGUGAUUUGUGUGCUCGUAUUCUGUCCUAGGGGGUGCAAGCUCCUUGAGGGCAGGCAUCUUGCAUUUCUCAUUCCGCUUGGACAGCGCGUCAGGCAUAUCCUAGUUGCUGGAUGAAUACUUGUGCAUCACCGAGCCAAAAAUGGGGGAUGAUGGGGGAGGCGGGGGAGCAGCUGGGAGACAGGUGAGAUCUGAGCGUGCGGGCCCUUGGGCUCGUGCAAAUAGAAUCGGCCUUGACCUUCUAGGAGGUGGGUGAACCACAGACGAGCUUCACCCAGUUCAGGGUGAAGACUGAUCACGCCAGUGGCUGGGCAGAGAGCCUUGUGUCUCCUCGAGGCUGAGCUCCCAUGGCGGGGGUGGGGGGGUAUUAGAAGGGGAGAGGGCCACCAAGAGCCUCCAGGGAGGGACAGGGCCUGGGGAUGUCAAGGAUGGAAAGAAGAAAAGGAUCUGGGGGCGGGGAAGGGAGCGCCAGAGAGCAAACGUAGCGACACCCAAGGGGCCAUGGGAUGGUUCAUUUGUCGGAGGGAGCAUAUUCCUCGAGAUCAGGGACCAACUUUUUAGGUAAAGGAAGAACUUUUCUUCAAACGAAAUCAUAUUCAGAACUUCCUCGAUGGGUCGGAUGGAAGUGGCGUCGCUCCCACCCGGGCGGGGGAAGGGGCCCAGAGCCAAGCCCUGCCCCUCCACCGGGCCACCCCUUCUGCUGCUCCUCUGCGGGGCAGGGGGGCGGGCGAGCUGAGGGCAGGCUUCCCCGCCUUCCCACCUGGGCCUCUGCGGCUGGGGUGUCACUUCGCCCUCCUCUCCGCAGACAGCCUGGCACCCUGGGCGCCCUCCCUGCCCCGGCAGCCUGAGGACAGGACAGAUUCUCUGCAGAGCCCAGGCUGCCCGUCCUGCAGGCUGGUCCUCCAGCCCCUCCACCCCUGGCUCUGGCACCGCGGCUGCUAUAAAUACACCCUGUGAAGGGAAUGACGUGAUGGAACAGAAGUGGCUCCAGAGCCCGCUGGCUCCAGGCUAUUGUGUCAGCAACACACCUUAGAGAAACACAUAAAAAGACAGCAACUCGGGAGGGAGCGCGCGGGCCGUAAAGGAGAGAAAGAACAAGAGCGAAGGCAAAAAUAACAACAACAAACAAAACUCAUAAGCCUACGUGAGUAUUCCUGGGAGGAUGAAAAGGCUCCAGAAAGGUCACCCCGGUCCCUUGAGCACACAAUGUAGUUUUUGUAAACUUCCAAGGCUCCCUUCUAC
RNAcentral lists this long non-coding RNA (2028 nucleotides) under Sus scrofa (pig). Its description in RNAcentral is "lncRNA (ENSSSCG00000043613.1)". The record is from RNAcentral. Lineage: Eukaryota; Metazoa; Chordata; Mammalia; Artiodactyla; Suidae.